AUACGUACCGGACGAACGUUAUUCGGAAUCACUGGGCUUAAAGAGUACGUAGGCUGCCUUGUAGGUGAGAUGUGAAAUCCCACGGCUCAACCGUGGAACUGCGUUUCAAACCACAAGGCUUGAGGGAGACAGGGGUGAGCGGAACUGAUGGUGGAGCGGUGAAAUGCGUUGAUAUCAUCAGGAACACCGGUGGCGAAGGCGACUCACUGGGUCUCUUCUGACGCUGCGGUACGAAAGCUAGGGUAGCGAACGGGAUUAGAAACCCCAGUAGUCC
This 274-nucleotide ribosomal RNA is filed under the name uncultured bacterium. RNAcentral describes it as "partial 16S ribosomal RNA". It matches the Rfam family "Bacterial small subunit ribosomal RNA", at positions 523 to 796 of the family's 1533-position model. The record is from RNAcentral.